Long non-coding RNA from Fukomys damarensis (Damara mole-rat), 1048 nucleotides. RefSeq lists it as uncharacterized. The record is from RefSeq and is a predicted model, not a curated record. The transcript has 2 exons. Lineage: Eukaryota; Metazoa; Chordata; Mammalia; Rodentia; Bathyergidae.
CCUGGAGGCCAAGAAACACAUCCGCGAGGUCGGGGCCUCCAUGUGAGGGGAAUGCAGGUGUAGAAAGCUCUGCUCUGCUGCCACCAGCACGUGAGGUGGGGACAGGGGCACUGGGCACGUGGAUGCAGGCCCUGGACACGACCCUGUAAGAUAACCUCACAGGCCCAAGCAGAUGGAUGGUGGUCACCCCACCUCCAGGUGCCCAGAGGUGGAACUGCUCUCUGGGUGCCCUGGCCCCAAAUCCUCUCAGCCCCACGAAGCACACUCCUGACAGGCCCACCACACUGGACCUUCCCUUACCCAGGGGGGUCAAGCAUCAUCCUCAGCUGGCCUCCAAGGUCUCGUGUUUCCUAGGUAUGUGGGCAGGACCGCAGCCUGGGCCAUGGUGCAGAGCCCACAUGACACGUGCAGGUGCAUACACGGACUGGGAGAGGGCGGGCAGGCCGCGCCAACCUGAAGACAGCUCCCAGCAUGGGCCAGCACCUCACGAGCACCCAAGCUGACUGAGGGAUGCAGGGCAGAGUCCCCCUGCCAUUUCCAGGUUAACUCAUCUGUAUAUCAAGGGAGCCUCUCCGGCCCAGCUACCUACCCCUGCCGCCCACUCAGGGUUCCAGCCUCCCCCAGAACCCCCACAGUAGUGGACUCCUCCCUGGUGGGCAGCUGCCGUCCUCCUGCGUGGGCUGCACAGGCCAUCACCAAGCCUAGAAGCAUCUCUGACCUGCGUUGGGCUUUCGCACUGUCCCCUGCUCCCUGACCUGUGACACUGGCACCUAAUCAGGUGAUCUUGUUUUUUUCUCCAGUGUCUGCUGUGUGGUCAUAUAGCCAGUCUGAUAGGUUCCCACUCUACCCACUUCCAUCUUCAGAAAUCUGAUGACUUUGUCUUCUCUUAGUGUUUGUUGUUUUUGUUUUGUUUGAUUGUAGGUCCUUUAAGUCCAUCUCUUGCAAUUACUUUAGAAGAGUUUACAGAAAGAUGGGCCCAAGGAUGCAACUGGUGAUAGAAAGUUUGCCAUGCACGCACAAGGCCCUGCACCUAAUCCCCAGCAACACA